GAUGAACGCUGGCGGCGUGCCUAAUACAUGCAAGUCGAGCGAACAGACGAGGAGCUUGCUCCUCUGACGUUAGCGGCGGACGGGUGAGUAACACGUGGAUAACCUACCUAUAAGGCUGGGAUAACUUCGGGAAACCGGAUCUAAUACCGGAUAAUAUAUUGAACCGCAUGGUUCAAUAGUGAAAGACGGUUUUGCUGUCACUUAUAGAUGGAUCCGCGCCGCAUUAGCUAGUUGGUAAGGUAACGGCUUACCAAGGCGACGAUGCGUAGCCGACCUGAGAGGAUGAACAGGCAGAGUGGGACUGAGACACGGACGAGACGCCUACGGGAGGACGCAGUGGGGAAUAGUGGACAAUGGGCGAAAGACUGAUCCAGCCAUGCCGAGGGUGAGAAGAAGGUCUUCGGAUUGUAAAGCACUUUAAGUUGGGAGAAAGGGCAGUAAGGUAAUACCGUGCUGUUUUGACGUUACCAACAGAAUAAGCACCGGCUAACUUCGUG
Molecule: ribosomal RNA, 497 nt
Filed under: uncultured bacterium
Lineage: Bacteria
Description: partial 16S ribosomal RNA
Rfam family: Bacterial small subunit ribosomal RNA
Source: RNAcentral